This 195-nucleotide ribosomal RNA is filed under the name Triticum aestivum (bread wheat). RNAcentral's name for it is "partial small subunit ribosomal RNA". The record is from RNAcentral. Lineage: Eukaryota; Viridiplantae; Streptophyta; Magnoliopsida; Poales; Poaceae.
AUGAAGAUAGAAGCUACAGAUCAUGUGCUUACCCUAGAUAAGGCCAUUGAUAAAGAAAAUUUAUUCUACAUAGGAAUGAAGACUGACUCGUCUGCCAAGUACCCUAUAAAUUAUGUCCUGAAAAAAAGUUUCUCUAUCAACAAUACUGAAUCAACACCUGUUCCACAUGCUCCAAAGGUAAGCAACUUCUUAUAG